AAAGACCCCGUGAACCUUUACUACAGCUUUGCACUGAACUUUGAACCUACUUGUGUAGGAUAGCUGGGAGACAUUGAAGCGAGGACGCCAGUUCUUGUGGAGUCAACCUUGAAAUACCAGCCUGGUAUGUUUGGAGUUCUAACCUCGGUCCAUUAUCUGGACUAGGGACAGUGUAUGGUGGGUAGUUUGACUGGGGCGGGCGCCUCCUAAAGAG
RNAcentral lists this ribosomal RNA (214 nucleotides) under Thalassiosira antarctica. RNAcentral describes it as "partial Bacterial large subunit ribosomal RNA". It matches the Rfam family "Bacterial large subunit ribosomal RNA", at positions 2084 to 2297 of the family's 2925-position model. Lineage: Eukaryota; Bacillariophyta; Thalassiosirophyceae; Thalassiosirales; Thalassiosiraceae. The record is from RNAcentral.